GUUUCUUUUUCCUCUUUGACCAUCUUGCAUGGAUGCAAUAAAACACAGUUCUGAAAUGCUAGGACGUCUGUCUGCACUAAAGAAGUCUCAUUCCAAUUUCAAGGGCUCACUUGCCUCUGGAACUGGCCUUGAGAAUGGGAGUGCCUACUCCUCCCUCAACAGCUGACGUAAAAGGGAGAACUUCCUGGAGGCCAGCCAAGAGCCUACUGGGGCAUAAUCAGGCUGCCCAGCUUGUUGGCUUGGACAUGGCUCCUCUCCACUUAGGAGGCUCUGCCCACUCACAUUCCAGGCCUCAGCUUGCCAUGUUUUCCUGUUAAGCCCAGAACCCUUCCCCUGGGUCCCUUCCUCAGAGGGGACAUGUUGGGAGCCACAGUCUCAGAGAUACUUGGGAUUUUAAACAUGAUGCAACUCUAGGGCUGACUUUGGAAUUCUGUGGGCUGUGCUUGGCCCAGAUCCCACCUUUGGGCCACUUUUGCUGCUGCUAUUAUUUUUAGUUGGUGGGGCAAUCAUUGUGUGCCUUUGUACAGUUUUCAUUUGGGAAGCCUUAGAGCUCUUUAACUCCACUCCAUUCUAUCACAUCCUUGUUUAGCAAUGAUCAUCCUUUUGCAUUACAAACUAGAAAAGCAACUCCGUAAGACUAACAAACUCUCUUCAACCAAGUAAAGGAGACUCCUUGUGGAGGGGAGCCCCUGCCCGCUCACCUGGAUGACCAUGCCUCACCUCUGCCGAUCACAUGCAAAUAUUUGUCCUGUUCUGAGACAUCCUCCUGGGUCCCAGCUUCUUCUCUUGAAGAUACAGAUUUCCAGUGCACCAUCAGAAGCCGAAGUAACUGUGAGUGGGAGGCAUUGGAGCCGGCUGGGAGCGUGAUGAUUAAGCAAACCUAAGGGAAGAGAGCCAGAGCCAAGCUGAAACAAGCACAGAGGAAUGCCCUGCGCAGCUCCACGUAUAUGUCCACUGCAAGCAUUCUCCACGGCACCAGUGUGGGCCUUGACCAACACAGACUCAACGAAUUUAUUUCAUAAAUAAGUAAAAGGAAAGCCUUUCAGAUAUUUACAUUUUGCAUAUAAGAUCUUUGAACAAAGUGUAAG
RNAcentral lists this long non-coding RNA (1088 nucleotides) under Homo sapiens (human). Its description in RNAcentral is "HSALNT0101403". Lineage: Eukaryota; Metazoa; Chordata; Mammalia; Primates; Hominidae. The record is from RNAcentral.